RNAcentral lists this ribosomal RNA (375 nucleotides) under uncultured Coprococcus sp. Its description in RNAcentral is "bacterial SSU rRNA". It matches the Rfam family "Bacterial small subunit ribosomal RNA", at positions 355 to 747 of the family's 1533-position model. The record is from RNAcentral. Lineage: Bacteria; Bacillati; Bacillota; Clostridia; Lachnospirales; Lachnospiraceae.
UGGGGAAUAUUGCACAAUGGGGGAAACCCUGAUGCAGCGACGCCGCGUGAGCGAAGAAGUAUUUCGGUAUGUAAAGCUCUAUCAGCAGGGAAGAAAAUGACGGUACCUGACUAAGAAGCACCGGCUAAAUACGUGCCAGCAGCCGCGGUAAUACGUAUGGUGCAAGCGUUAUCCGGAUUUACUGGGUGUAAAGGGAGCGUAGACGGCUGUGUAAGUCUGAAGUGAAAGCCCGGGGCUCAACCCCGGAACUGCUUUGGAAACUAUGCAGCUAGAGUGUCGGAGAGGUAAGUGGAAUUCCUAGUGUAGCGGUGAAAUGCGUAGAUAUUAGGAGGAACACCAGUGGCGAAGGCGGCUUGCUGGACGACAACUGACGCU